AGAGUUUGAGUUCUGGCUCAGGAUGAACGCUGGCGGCGUGCAUAACACAUUCAAGUCGAACGGUGCAGUCUUGAUGGCAACUGAUGGACUGCAUAGUGGCGGACGGGUGAGUAAUACAUGAGCAACCUGCCUUUAAGAGGGGAAUAACACAGAGAAAUUUGUGCUAAUACCGCAUAACCCGACGGGAGGGCAUCCUCCUGCCGGUAAAGGAGAAAUCCGCUUAAAGAUGGGCUCAUGUCUGAUUAGAUAGUUGGUAGGGUAACGGCCUACCAAGUCUGCGAUCAGUAGCCGGACUGAGAGGUCGGACGGCCACAUUGGAACUGAGAUACGGUCCAGACUCCUACGGGAGGCAGCAGUGGGGAAUAUUGGGCAAUGGGCGAAAGCCUGAACCCCCAGCGACGCCGCGUGAGGGAAGAAGGUCUUCGGAUUGUAAACCUCUGUUGACAGGGACGAAGCAUGACGGUACCUGUCGAGGAAGCCACGGCUAACUACGUGCCAGCCGCCGC
Molecule: ribosomal RNA, 506 nt
Filed under: uncultured bacterium
Lineage: Bacteria
Description: bacterial SSU rRNA
Rfam family: Bacterial small subunit ribosomal RNA
Source: RNAcentral